This 437-nucleotide ribosomal RNA is filed under the name uncultured bacterium. RNAcentral's name for it is "bacterial SSU rRNA". It matches the Rfam family "Bacterial small subunit ribosomal RNA", at positions 354 to 796 of the family's 1533-position model. The record is from RNAcentral.
GUGGGGAAUCUUGCACAAUGGACGAAAGUCUGAUGCAGCAACGCCGCGUGGGGGAUGAAGCUUCUCGGAGUGUAAACCCCUUUCGACCCGGAAGAAUGCCCGCAAGGGUAUGACGGUACGGGUAUAAGAAGCCCCGGCUAACUACGUGCCAGCAGCCGCGGUAAUACGUAGGGGGCCAGCGUUGCUCGGAAUUACUGGGCGUAAAGGGUCCGUAGGCGGUGUAGCAAGUCGAUAGUGAAAUCUCUGGGCUUAACCCAGAGGCUGCUAACGAAACUGCUGUGCUAGAGUGUGAGAGAGGCGAGUGGAAUUACGGGUGUAGCGGUGAAAUGCGUAGAUAUCCGUAGGAACAUCCGAGGCGAAGGCGGCUCGCUGGAUCACAACUGACGCUGAGGGACGAAAGCUAGGGGAGCAAACAGGAUUAGAAACCCUUGUAGUCC